UCGAGCGGUAACAGAGAGUAGCUUGCUACUUUGCUGACGAGCGGCGGACGGGUGAGUAAUGCUUGGGAAACUGCCCAGUCGAGGGGGACAACCAUUGGAAACGAUGGCUAAUACCGCAUACGCCACUCCCUGUUAAGGGGAAUGGGAAAGAAGGGGACUCUUCGGAGCCUUUCGCGAUUGGAUGUGCCCAAGUGGGAUUAGCUAGUUGGUGAGGUAAAGGCUCACCAAGGCGACGAUCCCUAGCUGGUUUGAGAGGAUGAUCAGCCACACUGGAACUGAGACACGGUCCAGACUCCUACGGGAGGCAGCAGUGGGGAAUAUUGCACAAUGGGCGCAAGCCUGAUGCAGCCAUGCCGCGUGUAUGAAGAAGGCCUUCGGGUUGUAAAGUACUUUCAGCGAGGAGGAAAGGUUGGCAGUUAAUAACUGUCAGCUGUGACGUUACUCGCAGAAGAAGGACCGGCUAACUCCGUGCCAGCAGCCGCGGUAAUACGGAGGG
Molecule: ribosomal RNA, 496 nt
Filed under: uncultured bacterium
Lineage: Bacteria
Description: bacterial SSU rRNA
Rfam family: Bacterial small subunit ribosomal RNA
Source: RNAcentral